AACGCGAAGAACCUUACCAACCUUUGACAUGUCCAGUAUGGGUUCGGGAGACCGGAUCCUUCAGUUCGGCUGGCUGGAACACAGGUGCUGCAUGGCUGUCGUCAGCUCGUGUCGUGAGAUGUUGGGUUAAGUCCCGCAACGAGCGCAACCCUCAUCUUUAGUUGCCACCAUUCAGUUGGGCACUCUAAAGAAACCGCCGGUGACAAGCCGGAGGAAGGUGGGGAUGACGUCAAGUCCUCAUGGCCCUUACAGGUUGGGCUACACACGUACUACAAUGGUGGUGACAGUGGGUUGCGAAACCGCAAGGUGGAGCUAAUCCCCAAAAGCCAUCUCAGUUCAGAUUGCGCUCUGCAACUCGAGCGCAUGAAGUUGGAAUCGCUAGUAAUCGCAGAUCAGCACGCUGCGGUGAAUACGUUCCCGGGCCUUGUA
Molecule: ribosomal RNA, 429 nt
Filed under: uncultured Alphaproteobacteria bacterium
Lineage: Bacteria; Pseudomonadati; Pseudomonadota; Alphaproteobacteria
Description: bacterial SSU rRNA
Rfam family: Bacterial small subunit ribosomal RNA
Source: RNAcentral